UACAGAGGUCCCGAGCGUUGUUCGGAUUCACUGGGCGUAAAGGGUGCGUAGGUGGCGAGGUAAGUCGGGUGUGAAAUCUCGGAGCUUAACUCCGAAACUGCAUUCGAUACUGCCGUGCUUGAGGACUGGAGAGGAGACUGGAAUUUACGGUGUAGCGGUGAAAUGCGUAGAUAUCGUAAGGAAGACCAGUGGCGAAGGCGGGUCUCUGGACAGUUCCUGACGCUGAGGCACGAAGGUCAGGGGAGCAAACGGG
RNAcentral lists this ribosomal RNA (253 nucleotides) under uncultured bacterium. RNAcentral's name for it is "partial 16S ribosomal RNA". It matches the Rfam family "Bacterial small subunit ribosomal RNA", at positions 524 to 776 of the family's 1533-position model. The record is from RNAcentral.